AACGAACGCUGGCGGCAGGCUUAACACAUGCAAGUCGAGCGCCCCGCAAGGGGAGCGGCAGACGGGUGAGUAACGCGUGGGAACGUACCUUUUGGUUCGGAACAACUCCGGGAAACUGGAGCUAAUACCGGAUAAGCCCUAACGGGGAAAGAUUUAUCGCCGAAAGAUCGGCCCGCGUCUGAUUAGCUAGUUGGUGAGGUAACGGCUCACCAAGGCGACGAUCAGUAGCUGGUCUGAGAGGAUGAUCAGCCACACUGGGACUGAGACACGGCCCAGACUCCUACGGGAGGCAGCAGUGGGGAAUAUUGGGCAAUGGGCGCAAGCCUGAUCCAGCCAUGCCGCGUGAGUGAUGAAGGCCUUAGGGUUGUAAAGCUCUUUUGUCCGGGAAGAUAAUGACUGUACCGGAAGAAUAAGCCCCGGCUAACUUCGUG
Molecule: ribosomal RNA, 431 nt
Filed under: uncultured bacterium
Lineage: Bacteria
Description: partial 16S ribosomal RNA
Rfam family: Bacterial small subunit ribosomal RNA
Source: RNAcentral